UACAGAGGGUGCAAACGUUGCUCGGAAUUAUUGGGCGUAAAGCGCGUGUAGGCGGCUUGUUAAGUCGGUUGUGAAAACCCAUGGCUCAACCAUGGAAGGGCGUCCGAAACUGGCAAGCUAGAGUCCCGACGAGGAUGGCGGAAUUCCCAGUGUAGAGGUGAAAUUCGUAGAUAUCGGGAGGAACACCGGUGGCGAAGGCGGCGACCUGGGUAGAUACUGACGCUGAGGUGCGAAAGCGUGGGGAGCAAACAGG
Molecule: ribosomal RNA, 253 nt
Filed under: uncultured bacterium
Lineage: Bacteria
Description: partial 16S ribosomal RNA
Rfam family: Bacterial small subunit ribosomal RNA
Source: RNAcentral